Molecule: non-coding RNA, 1035 nt
Organism: Paramisgurnus dabryanus
Lineage: Eukaryota; Metazoa; Chordata; Actinopteri; Cypriniformes; Cobitidae
Source: RefSeq, a predicted model, not a curated record
GAGUGUCAGUCAGAUCGCGGAUUCAUAUGCAGUUAUUCAUAUGUAGCGUUUAUGUGGAAGUGAAAGUCCGUGACAAAAUAUUACCUCAAGUACACCACUAUGUGAAAAUGGUCACUCUUGUGCAAUACAUGACCAAAUCUGAUGACUCCCAACUCCCCGACCAAAGUACUGCAGCAGUCAAUAACAUAUCCACAAGAGUUAAAUGGGGCACUUUCUAUAUGAGAGUUCAACUUUUCUGUCUUGAGAGAUUCACACCUUUCAGAUUCCCAACUUUAUGAUAUUGUUCAGAAUUUGGUUGGAGAAAAUUAGGAGAUUGGGGCAAAUGCUGUUCGGUCCAGGCUUGCAGCUAUAAAUAUUCGAGUGCCGCGAAGGAGACUUGGACUGUAUGGUUAGAAACCCAAGGACACUGAGACUGACAGACCCAGUUCCUGCUGCCAUGAAGCUCAUCACACCAUGAUCUACUGGCCUCCCAUCAUCCUGAUGCCCUGCCAAUGUCUGACCAGCAACCACCCGCUGCUUCCCUUUAUUUCUAAAUUUUUUUAUUCUUAAUAAAUCGUAUAGUAUAGUUUUUUAUUGGAUCGCGUAAUUCUGCUUAGUGACAACCAACCACUUAUUUUAACUUUUAAUUUAAAUGAUUUAAACCUUUAACAAUAAUUCCCAUACAUUUUAAGAAUAUAGAAGGCCUAUUCAACAUAUAGUAUAUAUUUUCUAGGAUCAGCUAGGUCUGGGUCUCUCUCAAGGGUUUUCUUUCUCCCAAUGACUUUUUCCCCUAUAAGGGUUGUUUUCCUAGGAGUUUUUUAAACCCCUUGGGGUCGGCUUACAUUAGCUUAACUUAAAGAGUUACAUUACAUUAUUACUCCGUUCACUAGUACGGUUUAAUCUGAGCCGCUGUACUUUGUUGUCCUAUAAUUUUUCUCUUGUUUUUAUUAAACAAGUAACCCAACUGGAGCUGCACGUAGAGCUUUGGCCCAAAGACUGCACCGAAGAACCUACCGUGUUGCAGGUCCCAACUCAUUGUGGCACAGUGAUGGAAAC